UGCUGGGUUCGUUUUAUUCAGCGGCAGUGGUGCUUUACCGAAUCUCAGAAUGCCUGUUAAAAGAUCACUGAAAUUGGAUGGUCUGUUAGAAGAAAAUUCAUUUGAUCCUUCAGAAAUCACAAGGAAGAAAAGUGUUAUAACUUAUUCUCCAACAACUGGAACUUGUCAAAUGAGUCUAUUUGCUUCUCCCACAAGCUCUGAAGAGCAAAAGCACAGAAAUGGACUAUCAAAUGAAAAGAGAAAAAAAUUGAAUCAUCCCAGUUUAACUGAAAGCAAAGAAUCUACAACAAAAGACAAUGAUGAAUUCAUGAUGUUGCUAUCAAAAGUUGAGAAAUUGUCAGAAGAAAUCAUGGAGAUAAUGCAAAAUUUAAGUAGUAUACAGGCUUUGGAGGGCAGUAGAGAGCUUGAAAAUCUCAUUGGAAUCUCCUGUGCAUCACGUUUCUUAAAAAGAGAAAUGCAGAAAACCAAAGAACUAAUGACAAAAGUAAAUAAACAAAAACUGUUUGAAAAGAGUACAGGACUUCCUCACAAAGGCAUUAAGGCUGACUUGCCCAUUACCAGAUUUUCCCAAAGGACUGAGUUCCUGCAUACAGGAGACUGUAUCACUAAACCAUGUUUGUAAAUUUCUAAUAAUCAUUGAUUUAAAUGAAAACGCAGUUUAAAAAAUAUAUAAUACAUAGUAUCUAUAUAAGUAUGUCAUAUAUUAAUGGGUGUUCUAUUCUAUUCUAUGUAGUCAUCGUCCAAUUCUGUUUCUUGGCAGGAGCUACAUUAGCUCUUUAUAUUUCCUGAGGUAUUAAAAACUUCAUUAGCUUUUUAACUAAUUUUGGGAAAUUCAUAUUGCCUAAAAAAUAGAUUAAAGCUUAUUUUUGUUG
RNAcentral lists this small RNA (872 nucleotides) under Pongo abelii (Sumatran orangutan). RNAcentral's name for it is "processed transcript". Lineage: Eukaryota; Metazoa; Chordata; Mammalia; Primates; Hominidae. The record is from RNAcentral.